This 492-nucleotide ribosomal RNA is filed under the name uncultured bacterium. RNAcentral's name for it is "partial 16S ribosomal RNA". It matches the Rfam family "Bacterial small subunit ribosomal RNA", at positions 29 to 507 of the family's 1533-position model. The record is from RNAcentral.
AGUGAACGCUGGCGGUAGGCCUAACACAUGCAAGUCGAACGGCAGCACAGUAAGAGCUUGCUCUUACGGGUGGCGAGUGGCGGACGGGUGAGGAAUACAUCGGAAUCUACUUUUUCUUGGGGGAUAACGUAGGGAAACUUACGCUAAUACCGCAUACGACCUACGGGUGAAAGCAGGGGAUCUUCGGACCUUGCGCGAUUGAAUGAGCCGAUGUCGGAUUAGCUAGUUGGCGGGGUAAAGGCCCACCAAGGCGACGAUCCGUAGCUGGUCUGAGAGGAUGAUCAGCCACACUGGAACUGAGACACGGUCCAGACUCCUACGGGAGGCAGCAGUGGGGAAUAUUGGACAAUGGGCGAAAGCCUGAUCCAGCCAUACCGCGUGGGUGAAGAAGGCCUUCGGGUUGUAAAGCCCUUUUGUUGGGAAAGAAAAGCAGCAGGUUAAUACCCCGCUGUUCUGACGGUACCAAAAGAAUAAGCACCGGCUAACUUCGUG